UACGGAGGAUUCGAGCGUUAUCCGGAUUUAUUGGGUUUAAAGGGUGCGUAGGCGGACUGGUAAGUCAGCUGUGAAAGGUUACGGCUCAACCCUGAAAUUGCAGUUGAUACUGUUGAUCUUGAGUAUACAUGAGGUGGGCGGAAUUUGUGGUGUAGCGGUGAAAUGCUUAGAUAUCACAAAGAACACCAAUUGCGAAGGCAGCUCACUGGGGUACAACUGACGCUGAGGCACGAAAGUGUGGGUAUCAAACAGG
RNAcentral lists this ribosomal RNA (253 nucleotides) under uncultured bacterium. Its description in RNAcentral is "partial 16S ribosomal RNA". It matches the Rfam family "Bacterial small subunit ribosomal RNA", at positions 524 to 776 of the family's 1533-position model. The record is from RNAcentral.